Molecule: non-coding RNA, 26 nt
Filed under: Mus musculus (house mouse)
Lineage: Eukaryota; Metazoa; Chordata; Mammalia; Rodentia; Muridae
Source: RNAcentral
UCUAACCAGAAACAAGUCUCUGUGCU